UACGUAGGCGGAAAAUUAAGUCAGUGGUGAAAUCCUACAGCUUAACUGUAGAACUGUCAUUGAUACUGGUUUUCUUGAAUGUAGUUGAGGUAGGCGGAAUGUGUAAUGUAGCGGUGAAAUGCUUAGAUAUUACACAGAACACCGAUUGCGAAGGCAGCUUACUAAGCUACGAUUGACGCUGAGGUACGAAAGCGUGGGGAGCGAACAGGAUUAGAUACCCUGGUAGUCC
RNAcentral lists this ribosomal RNA (229 nucleotides) under uncultured bacterium. Its description in RNAcentral is "partial 16S ribosomal RNA". It matches the Rfam family "Bacterial small subunit ribosomal RNA", at positions 568 to 796 of the family's 1533-position model. The record is from RNAcentral.